Harmonia axyridis is the source of this 893-nucleotide long non-coding RNA. RefSeq lists it as uncharacterized. The transcript is spliced from 2 exons. The record is from RefSeq and is a predicted model, not a curated record. Lineage: Eukaryota; Metazoa; Arthropoda; Insecta; Coleoptera; Coccinellidae.
UAUCUAUCUCUGAAUGGAAUCAAUUGUAAAAUUUCAGACACGAAGAAUAUCCCAUUGGCAAUUUUAUAGAGUGAAAUGAUGUCAUUCAUUUGUCAACUAUUUUGCAGCUCUGUUAAUACAAAUUGCCCUCAAAUAUGUGAAUAUACAUGAUCACUACUAAAAAUAUUUUCCUUAGAGGACAGAAAUCUAAGAAAUUUCGUACCUCUCAAUUAUGUUUAUUUGUAUUGAAAAUUUAAAAGACUAAAAAUAAAUGAAUAAAAAAAAUUCCAGAUAAGUUUUGUAAAGACCUGCAGUGUUGAAGGAACUUAUUUGACUACUUGAAUAAACAAUUAAAAAAUGUUCUUCCAACUGGUUCUUCUGAAAGUAAAAUAUCAAACAAAUGUAUGGUCUAUAAUUAUUUCAACAAAUAACCUAUUACUACUCUUUCAUUAAAAAAUAAUAUGCUUUUCUAUGGACUAGUAUAAAAAAUUCUAUUCUAUUAUUCUAUUCUAAAUCCUUUAACAAAAUCAAUAGACUGAAGAAUUACUGAGGGAUAUAGUAAACUGAUAUCACAAUAAACAAUAUAAUUUCAAUGAAGGAUUUGUUUUGAAUUUGAUAUGGAUUCAAUGACACAGCUAAGAUUAUUAUGUAGAGAUAAGGCAAUUCAAGUUCUGACAGGGUAAUAGUAUAACUGCAAAUUGUCUUUUCAACACACCUCAACUGAUAGUGCAGAAAAAAAGUUUAGUGAAUUAUUUGUGCAAUACUGGAACCUGAAGAAAAACAACAUGAUCUAAAGUCAGCAUAGUUUGAAAACCCCCUAUUAUGCAGGAGAUAUUAUGAAAUAUUCAUUAUGUAAUAUUUUUUACAAGUUCAGAUAUUCUGUAAUGAAAAAGGAAAUAAACCAUUGUGUUAAA